GCUGCUUCAAGUGUCAGGCCAACUCAAAGAUGCUGUCUAUGGGAGAUACACCUGAAAUACCCAAUGGAGAGAAAGUGUCUUCUAGUAUCACCAAGGAAGGAGUCAUCCAGUCUCAUGGGUUUAAGGUCCCUCCAUAAGCUGAUGAAAAGGAAGAUCCGGAUCUAGUCUGCAUGUGGAUGGCUACUGGGAAAGCCAAGUAUACUAAUGCAUUUCCUGAAGAGUAAAACUGAGCAGUGGAAGAUGGAACCAUUCAUUCAUUCAAUACAUGUUUAUUGAGGACCUACAGGACACAGCCUUUGCACCAGGGACACUCACAGACAGAUAAACAAAUCAUUACGGUGCUUUGGGAUGAGAGCUGCAGCCGAGGAAAGCACCAUAAGUUUUGGAUAUACUGUCAGUGCCAUACAAUUUGAAGCUCUAACCUCUCCACCAGACAAGCG
Long non-coding RNA from Cercocebus atys (sooty mangabey), 440 nucleotides. RefSeq lists it as uncharacterized. The record is from RefSeq and is a predicted model, not a curated record. The transcript is spliced from 4 exons. NCBI's taxonomy places the organism in Eukaryota, Metazoa, Chordata, Mammalia, Primates, Cercopithecidae.